CAUAACCAAUAAGGUUGAAAUUUUCACCUGAAGGAUAGUGCAGAACAAGGUUCAUUGUGCCCUUAAAAUAUCUCAGAAUUCUCUUAGCAGCCUUUAAAGAUGUCUUAGAAUUUGAUUGGAACCUUGCACAUAAUUGCACACUAAAUACAAUGUUUAGACUGCUGGCAGUAAGGUAUAGUAGAGAUAAAAUGAUUCCCAUAUACAUUGUUUGAUAUAUAGGUUAUCUAGAAUCAUCCAUGUCCAGCUUAGUAGCAGUAGCAAUAGGGGUAGCACCUUUGAUGCUUCCAUAUCAAACUUUUUCAAGAGUUUUUUAAUGUAUUUCUGCUGACUAAUACACGUUUACUUUAUGUACUACUUCACUCGAAGACUUAGGAAGACAUUUAGUUCACCCAUCAUACUCAUUUCAAACUUACUUCCCGUGAGUUUAGCAAAUUCUUCACAUAAUUAGGGUGGUAGCUUGAUAUAGACUUCUUCCUUGAGAAAACAAUUUAAAGCGGCAUUUUUCACAUCCAUUAGGAAUAGAGUGAAUUCUAUAUGUGAAGCAAAGUCAAUGGGGAUCCAAAUAGCUUCCAUGCGAGCUAAUAGGGCAAAAGUCUCAUCACAAUUGAUCCCUUCCUCCUGAUUGUAUCCUCGGACAGCAAGCCUUGCUUUGUUCCUUGUAGUAUUUCCAUGUUCAUCCAGCUUAUUCCUGAAUACCCACAUGGUCCUAUGAUGGUUCUUUCUGAGGGUCUAGGUACCAGGUGCCAUCCCUUGUUUCUUUCAAAUUGAUAUAGUUCCUCUUCCAUUGCAGUAAUCUAGACUAUAUCCUUCAAGGCUUCCUUGACAUUUUUGGGUUCUAUUUGUGAUAGAAAUGAUGAGAAAGCUAGGGAAUUUCUGAUUUUUGAUCUUGUCUGAAUCCAGAAUCAAGGGGUGAUUAUAUUAUCAAGUGUAUGAGAGCUUUUGUAUUUCCAAUUUGGGACUAAAGUUUGAUUGGUAGAGGAAUUAGGUAAGCUAAAUGGAUUUCCCUGCACUCCUUGGUUCUUUCUGAGGGUCUAGGUACCAGGUGUUAUACCUUGUUUCUUUCAAAUUGAUGUAGUUCCUCUUGCAUUGCAGUAAUCCAGUCUGCAUCCUUCAAGACUUUCUUAAUAGUUUGGGGUUAUAUUUAGGAUAGAAAUGCUGAGAAGGCUAGGGAAUUUGUGAUUUUAAUCUUGUCUGAACUCCAGAAUAAAGGGGUGAUUAUAUUAUCAAGUGUAUGGGAGCUUUUGUGUUUCCAAUUUGGGACUAAAGUUUGAUUGGUAGAUGAACUGGGUAAGUCAAAUGGAUUUCCCUGCACUCCUUAUUCUGUUACUUGUGGAGUGCCUUGCACUGCAUCUCCAACUCUUUCUUCAGCUUCAGUUGUAGUAAUUGAAGUACUAGGUUCCUCUUAAGAAGUGGAAGAGGACGUUGCAUUGUCUUCACCUAUCUCCAUUUGACUUAUCAUAUCAGCAUUUCCAUUUAAACAUCAGAUAUUUCCCAGGGACCAAAAAU
This 1506-nucleotide long non-coding RNA is filed under the name Nicotiana benthamiana. Its description in RNAcentral is "long non-coding RNA (NBEN_LNC019009)". Lineage: Eukaryota; Viridiplantae; Streptophyta; Magnoliopsida; Solanales; Solanaceae. The record is from RNAcentral.